AACGCUGGCGGCGUGCCUAAUACAUGCAAGUCGAACGGUCUUUCUAUGGAAGCUUGCUUCCACUGAAAAGAUAGUGGCGAACGGGUGAGUAACACGUGGGUAACCUGCCCAUAAGAGGGGGGAUAACAUCCGGAAACGGGUGCUAAUACCGCAUAGUUUUCUUGAUCGCAUGAUCGGGAAAGGAAAGACGGCCUUUGUGCUGUCGCUUAUGGAUGGACCCGCGGCGUAUUAGUUAGUUGGUGAGGUAACGGCUCACCAAGACGAUGAUACGUAGCCGACCUGAGAGGGUGAUCGGCCACAUUGGGACUGAGACACGGCCCAAACUCCUACGGGAGGCAGCAGUAGGGAAUCUUCCGCAAUGGACGAAAGUCUGACGGAGCAACGCCGCGUGAGUGAAGAAAAGGUUUUCGGAUCGUAAAACUCUGUUGUCAGAGAAGAACAAGUUGGAGAGUAACUGCUCCAGCCUUGACGGUAUCUGACCAGAAAGCCACGGCUAACUACGUGCCAGCCGCCGC
RNAcentral lists this ribosomal RNA (515 nucleotides) under uncultured bacterium. Its description in RNAcentral is "bacterial SSU rRNA". It matches the Rfam family "Bacterial small subunit ribosomal RNA", at positions 32 to 518 of the family's 1533-position model. The record is from RNAcentral.